CCAUUCUUAUCUCGGAUAAAGCAAAGCCUGCGCGCAAAACUGUGCGUUCUGCCAAGCAACUAGUGUACAAGUAACCUGAAAGACCAGAUCAGGCCGGUCUACGAAUGAAUAAAUAUAUCCUAUUAGACAUAAAGAGGAUUGCACAGGUUUCUAGAUUAUACCGUCUGUGAGAACGGAGCCUCGAUUUAUCAGACAGCUUUAAUGUUGCCUCUGGGACAUAUUUGGUAAGUGAGCGAGGCCGCUGGCUCCUGCUGAGGUCUGCAGUACGUGUUUAAGGGGAUGGACACGUGCACAAAGACUUUUAUCUACCAGAGGGAUGGGUGGCCACCUCUCCCAUAUCAACUGCAGAGGGUGAAGGCAAACAUGUGCUUCCUCGUGUUUCCUCCAAGAUACCCGUCACCAGCCAACUGCAUCUUUUCAAACUCCUGCUCAUGCUCCAUCACAAGGUAGUGUAGUGGAACACACUCAGAGGAAAGUGCUAUCUGCCCUCUUCUGCAUAUGGGAGCUCACCAGUAUCUAUGAUUGGUUAGUGUCGCUGUACUUGCCAGGGAAGACACGUGGAUAUUUCUCUCUGGAGCAGGUGCUGUGACUGUAUUGAUACAACAAUUUUUAUUGCAAAUGAUAUUACUGACAACAACUUCAGUGAAAGUAGAAUCUUUGAAAUAUUUACAUGGAUGUUUCUUAGUAUUUUGUAUGUCCUUUUUUUUGCUUUAGUACCAGUGUGCACUGGAGCUGACAUGGACUCCACAAGUUUGUGCAAAACCUUAUGAUCAAUUUUAGAUCAAAUCCUUUAAAUUGUUGUCUAAAAAUGUGCUUCAUUAGAAGAGAUUAGAUAUGAGGAAAAUCUGACUUUUUAUUUUUUAUUUUUACAAAGCAGUUAACAUGGUCACUAUCACAAAUCUGUAUAUAAAUAGGGACCUGGAAAUAGUGCAGACUCUUGAAUAUUAAAUAUUCAAGAUAUUGAACAUUUACUUUCUUUGUUUUGAAUAUUUCAAAAUUCUUAAACAUUGUUGAACCUGAACGUGUUUAUUUCAGAAACAUUUUUACACAAACAUUUUCAAUGUUUGCCAUUCUGGUACUUCCUCUCCAUACUGUAAAAUAGGAGUGUUCAACUUUAUCUGGAACCGGCUGGUGUUGUUGCAGGUUUUCAUUCCAACCAAGCAGGAGCCGCCCCUGAUUCCACCUGUUUAAUCAGCCGAUCUUGGCCUUAACUCAACUGUCAGGUGUGGCUCCUGCUUGGGUGGAUUGAAAACCUCCAGACACAUCAACCCUUUGACUUUAAGUUUGGACACAUCUGCUGUAAAAUAACUAUGGAUAUAAUGUUAACAAAAAUACAGACAAAACAAAAAUACUGUACCUUUUUGUACUGUACUCCUAUAAAAUGCACUUAUCCUAAGGAAAAAUAUAAGGGGAGAUAUUACGGGGAGGUCAACAGAACUUGUACAAAUGACACAACUCAAUUCCCAAUAAUUAUUUGUGUAGCUGUAACUUUAAAAUAGAAAUUUGCCCUGGGUCACUAACAUGGGAAUGGGUGGGGUUAAAAAAUGCUACUGCAUCCAGCCUCAGAGACACUUUGGCUUCACUUUUGACUCCCUGUUACGACAUCCACCCACAUAGAGUCACUGGUUGGGCUACGUCACACCACCACGUCAUUGAUUGUUUCCCUCCUAUUGUGUUUUUAUUCCUGAGCACAUGCAUGCAUUGUUUAGGGCUGCUAAGAAUCUGAAUUAACUAGGCCAUUUUGUCUACAACUGUUAGUUAACUGCUCUAGUCGACUAGAUUAAACAAUUUAUUUUACUCUAAGUUCAACUGAAUAAGCUUUUCUGUAUUAGUGUAGUCACUAAUACAUACAGGGGGGAUUAGUGGUUAGCACAGAUGGACUUUACAAUCAUUUUGGGAAGAAAAGUCAUUGAAGCUAGUCAGAAUUUACGGACAUAUAAGAAACUCCAGGUUAUGGCAUAUUAGUCCUUUUUCAUUCACUUUUUUCAUUUAAAUUUCAUACAUUACGCUGUGCUGUUCUCUGCAGGAAACGAAAAAAAACUAGAGAUGCACCGAUGCAUCGGCCAAUAAUCGGUAUCGGCUGAUAAAGGUAAUUUUUCACGCUAUGGGCCAUCGGCGAUAGUUUAAACACAUCCAAUGAUCAGGGACAAUUAUAUCCUGUCAAUCAAAACAGGGCAGGAAAACACAUGGAAUUUGUGCUGCGUGUAGAGAUGUCUCUUGUGUGGAAUGACUUUGAAUUGGGUGACAUUGAUGACAAAACCGCAGUUUGUAAGCUCUGCACUGCUAAAAUUUUACACCGCAUUCUGCAUCAGAGCAGAAGCUGUGUGUAUUUUUUUGGCGUGCAUGUUAACGAAGGAGUGCUUUUACACUGGACACUGCAGCAGUGAAGCGGGAGAUUCGGCAUUGAGUCCAUUUUUUUUUUUUUUUGCAGUGCUGCUUGAGCUGCUCGUGCUGAAUUAAAGUGGUGGGGGGAAAAAGGGUAGACUAUAUAUUGCACAGAAAAAUAUAUUUGUAGAGUAGUACGUUUCAUAUCCAGUUAAUGUUAAUGAGUUAAUAUCAUCAAAAAAAGCUGAUAUUAUAUAUUACCUGUUUGAUGUUCAGUGAUGAAGUACAAAUGAUUUUGUUUGUGGCAUAAAAGAAGAAUAUAAGGCAGAACUAGAAGGCAUAAAAGGCAGAACUAUCGGUAUUGGUAUCAGCCAAUAUCACGCUGAAUUAUAGGUUAUCGUAUCGGCUGAGAAAUUUAGUAUCGUGCAUCUCUUUAAAAAAAACCCUUUGAUUCUGUUACAUAUUUUAAAGGGAAAUAUAUUUCAAUAUUAAGGAGAACGAAUGCAAGUCUAUAGACAACACUUACAGGGAGUCUGCACUACUAGACUUCUCUUUCACUGAUCCACUUCUGAACACAGACCUGGCAAACCUUCCACCUGACAUGAAAUCACAUGCUUGUGGGGAAAAAAAGGGCUGUAUCUGAAACUAGCUGUAGCUGUAUCUGUAACUGAAAGACUCAUUUUUAAUAAGCCUAAUAAUUCUUUGCAAGAACAAGACUGGAUGUGAUAAAUGUGUGGCCAUGGAGAGUAAUAUGAAGAGAAAAACAGGACAGUAAAGCUUUGCAGGAUUUACAUCUUAUAGAGCAUGGUUCAUGUACAUGUGAGAAUAAACUCACCUGACAUGACGAAUCACAGCUAUUACAGUACAGGCCAAGUAAAACAAAUAUGUGAUAUACUGCUCGCUGUUGUACACAUAAUGUAAUUUUUCAUGUGCUGUAAAUGCUUUCUGUGAAAACAUAUCAAAUUCACAUUUCAGUGCAUUUCAACACAGAAAUAUUUUUCAUGGCGCAUUAGAGCAAAGCUACAUCUCCAUUGGUUAAUGAUUCGUACAGUAUAUUAUCAUAGGUAUGGUACACGACAACACUUUAAAUACACACUUGUGACAACUAGCUUUAUUCUUCUUAGAUUUUCCAUUUACACUUCCAAAUGAUAUAAUUGCAUAAUUAUAUAUUUAAGCAAAUUCCUUUUCUUUUUAAAUACAUGCUUAUUAAUUCUGUCGAAGUGAUGACAUUUGGUAGAAAAGAAAAACAUGCCCUCAAACUAUAAUUCACACAGUACAGCGAUCUGUGACAAAAGGUUACAGUGACACAAAACAAACCAAACAAUACACAACGAAAACAGAGAAAGCUUUAAAUAAAGCCUGUAAUGAGCUAUUCAUUUAAAAAAACAAACACAAGGUUAAACAAUGUGUCUUUUAUGUGUACUGCUCAGCUUUCAGCAUCAUAGGAACACCUCACUUUCAUAUCAACACUCACUUCAAGUUUGAGGAAGCUAAAAUAUAUUUUAACCCCAAAUACUCUCUUUCUAAUAAAUAAAGAAAUAAUACAAGAGACUACUACAUGUGUGUGUGUAUCUGCUAGCUAAUAUUUAAGGUGCAAGAAUUCUCAGUAACUAAAACAGAGUAGCUUCCACUUUCACAGAGCAGAACUUACAUCUCAAAAAGCAACACAAAUGAACACAAGAGUCACUGAUCAAAUUUAUCAGCAGGCUAUGUUUCUAUACAAACAACUGCAGG
This is a long non-coding RNA of Ictalurus punctatus (channel catfish), 4059 nucleotides long. RefSeq lists it as uncharacterized. Lineage: Eukaryota; Metazoa; Chordata; Actinopteri; Siluriformes; Ictaluridae. The record is from RefSeq and is a predicted model, not a curated record. The transcript has 4 exons.